Long non-coding RNA from Eupeodes corollae, 1394 nucleotides. RefSeq lists it as uncharacterized. The record is from RefSeq and is a predicted model, not a curated record. NCBI's taxonomy places the organism in Eukaryota, Metazoa, Arthropoda, Insecta, Diptera, Syrphidae. The transcript is spliced from 3 exons.
GGAAAUAUAUUAUCUAGAGUCCCGACCGGUACCCGUCCUACCUGAAACACCCUCAAAUUUUAUUCGAGGUGAACUCUCCCAAAUUCGAGGUGAACUCUCACAAAUUCUCUAUCGGUGAAUACAUGUGAGUGGAGAAAAAAAAGCAAAAUGGGGGAUUGGGCUAAAAAGAAACUUAUGGAAUUUUUGUGACCUGUCAAAAAUGACAAUCAAUUUCGCAAAACAAAACAAUGGGUUUCGGAUUUUUAGAGUAAGUUUUUGUUAAUUGUUUUGAUUUUUAAUAUAGUUUGAUAUUUUUCAGACCAAAAUUCUUUAUAAUGAAGAGGGUAUAUACAAGUCCACUUCAUUGAAUAAAAAUUAAGUCAAAUUGCAGUGAAGGAGGUGCAACAAUAAUGGAUUUAUUUUAUAUUCUUUCUUUUCAUUUUAGAUAGUGCCAAAAUGCAGGAAGCAAUUUCCUUUAAGUAAUUUGGAAAGCAAACCAAACAAGGCGCUGAUUUGCAGAUACUGCCCAUUGUUUUUGUAUGUACUUCUCAACUGCAAUAGCUGCCCCAGGUGUUGACGGCGGAGGUGUCACCAUCAAAACCAUUAGAAACAACACGAACAAGUCAAUGAUGCAAGUGGAAGUUUUGCCAUGUAAUAGUCGACCGCUGACGCCCUUCUCCAUCAAUUGUGUAAGUACGUAUCGAAACAUUCAUAUCGUAGUCAACUAGCUUAAUCUUCAUCUUCUAGGUGUAAAGAGUACUACCAGUCUGCAGUUCUGCAAGAGACGCAAACAAAACAAGAAUACAAUCGCAGGAAGAUUUCAAAAAAUGUCCAACCCUGACUGUAAGUGAGUUCAAAUUUUAAAUCUACAACGAAUCCAUUCAUUUUGCUCCUAAGGAUCGCACUGGCUUAACGGUGUCAAUCAUUCGGAGGCAAAUGAGCUGGCCCGACAAGAAUCCCCCAAGAAGCCAAACAGAUUCAGAUUAGUCUCUCGGCAGCUACUGACAAUGUCGGCGAAUUAAAUCCAUCGAUUUUCACACAGAAAAUCAACAUCAAAAAAAUCACGACAAUUCAGCAGCGUCAUGGUCAACCUGCCGAUCAACCAUUCACAGUGAACAACCUCUAUUCGUAGCAGAAGCGCUCUCUGCGUUGUCGACAAUGCGAAUACAAUGUCAUCAAGCCGGAGUACCAUCCAGGAUCGAUCAAGUAUCGCAUUCAAUUGUUUGCUAACUACCAUGUGCCAGACGUUCUGCUUGUGCGUUGUGAAAAGCCACUGAAGCCUGGCACGUCCACUGAAUUGAUCCUCAAGCUAACUAACCCAACGAUGUACCAUAUGACCACAACCAUUAUGAAACUGCUAACCAAGGAAGAAGAACGGCGAAUGAUCGACUUCGAAUAAAAGUUCAACGAAAGGA